RNAcentral lists this ribosomal RNA (253 nucleotides) under uncultured bacterium. RNAcentral describes it as "partial 16S ribosomal RNA". It matches the Rfam family "Bacterial small subunit ribosomal RNA", at positions 524 to 776 of the family's 1533-position model. The record is from RNAcentral.
UACGUAGGGGGCAAGCGUUGUCCGGAUUUACUGGGCGUAAAGGGCGCGCAGGCGGCUCAUUUUGUCAGGCGUGAAAGCCCCGGGCUUAACCUGGGAACUGCGUUUGAUACGGAUGGGCUAGAGUUCGGGAGAGGAGAGUGGAAUUCCCAGUGUAGAGGUGAAAUUCGUAGAUAUUGGGAAGAACACCGGUGGCGAAGGCGGCUCUCUGGACCGAGACUGACGCUGAGGCGCGAAAGCGUGGGGAGCAAACAGG